Molecule: ribosomal RNA, 437 nt
Filed under: uncultured bacterium
Lineage: Bacteria
Description: bacterial SSU rRNA
Rfam family: Bacterial small subunit ribosomal RNA
Source: RNAcentral
CAGGCCUAACACAUGCAAGUCGCACAGGGGCUUCGGCCUUAGUGGCGGACGGGUGAGUAUCGCGUAGGAAUCUAUCCAUGGGUGGGGGAUAACUCUGGGAAACUGGAGCUAAUACCGCAUGACACCUGAGGGUCAAAGGCGCAAGUCGCCUGUGGGGGAGCCUGCGUUCGAUUAGCUUGUUGGUGGGGUAAAGGCCUACCAAGGCGAUGAUCGAUAGCUGGUCUGAGAGGAUGAUCAGCCACACUGGGACUGAGACACGGCCCAGACUCCUACGGGAGGCAGCAGUGGGGAAUAUUGGACAAUGGGCGCAAGCCUGAUCCAGCAAUGCCGCGUGUGUGAAGAAGGUCUUCGGAUUGUAAAGCACUUUCGACGGGGACGAUGAUGACGGUACCCGUAGAAGAAGCCCCGGCUAACUUCGUGCCAGCAGCCGCGGUAAU